This 756-nucleotide ribosomal RNA is filed under the name uncultured bacterium. RNAcentral's name for it is "bacterial SSU rRNA". It matches the Rfam family "Bacterial small subunit ribosomal RNA", at positions 125 to 883 of the family's 1533-position model. The record is from RNAcentral.
CCUGCCGAUAACUCCGGAAUAGCCUUUCGAAAGAAAGAUUAAUACCGGAUAGUAUACGAAUAUCGCAUGAUAUUUUUAUUAAAGAAUUUCGGUUAUCGAUGGGGAUGCGUUCCAUUAGUUUGUUGGCGGGGUAACGGCCCACCAAGACUACGAUGGAUAGGGGUUCUGAGAGGAAGGUCCCCCACAUUGGAACUGAGACACGGUCCAAACUCCUACGGGAGGCAGCAGUGAGGAAUAUUGGUCAAUGGGCGAGAGCCUGAACCAGCCAAGUAGCGUGAAGGAUGAAGGCUCUAUGGGUCGUAAACUUCUUUUAUAUGGGAAUAAAGUUUUCCACGUGUGGAAUUUUGUAUGUACCAUAUGAAUAAGGAUCGGCUAACUCCGUGCCAGCAGCCGCGGUAAUACGGAGGAUCCGAGCGUUAUCCGGAUUUAUUGGGUUUAAAGGGAGCGUAGGUGGAUUGUUAAGUCAGUUGUGAAAGUUUGCGGCUCAACCGUAAAAUUGCAGUUGAAACUGGGAGUCUUGAGUACAGUAGAGGUGGGCGGAAUUCGUGGUGUAGCGGUGAAAUGCUUAGAUAUCACGAAGAACUCCGAUUGCGAAGGCAGCUCACUAGACUGUCACUGACACUGAUGCUCGAAAGUGUGGGUAUCAAACAGGAUUAGAUACCCUGGUAGUCCACACAGUAAACGAUGAAUACUCGCUGUUUGCGAUAUACAGUAAGCGGCCAAGCGAAAGCAUUAAGUAUUCCACCUGGGGAGUAC